This 72-nucleotide transfer RNA is filed under the name Pectinophora gossypiella (pink bollworm). RNAcentral describes it as "transfer RNA proline (anticodon UGG)". It matches the Rfam family "tRNA". From Rfam's summary of the family: Transfer RNA (tRNA) molecules are approximately 80 nucleotides in length. Lineage: Eukaryota; Metazoa; Arthropoda; Insecta; Lepidoptera; Gelechiidae. The record is from RNAcentral.
GGCCCGUUGGUCUAGUGGUAUGAUACUCGCUUUGGGUGUGAGUGGCCCCGGGUUCAAAUCUCGGACGGGCCC